Molecule: ribosomal RNA, 253 nt
Filed under: uncultured bacterium
Lineage: Bacteria
Description: partial 16S ribosomal RNA
Rfam family: Bacterial small subunit ribosomal RNA
Source: RNAcentral
UACGAAGGGUGCAAGCGUUGUUCGGAAUUAUUGGGCGUAAAGGGUUCGUAGGCGGGAAUAUAAGUUGAGUGUGAAAUCCCUGGGCUUAACCUAGGAAGUGCAUUCAAAACUGUUUUUCUUGAGUGUUGGAGAGGAUGGUGGAAUUGCUGGUGUAGGAGUGACAUCCGUAGAGAUCAGCAGGAACGCCGGAGGCGAAAGCGGCCAUCUAGCCAAACACUGACGCUGAGGAACGAUAGCGUGGGUAGCAAACAGG